This is a long non-coding RNA of Alexandromys fortis (reed vole), 602 nucleotides long. RefSeq lists it as uncharacterized. The record is from RefSeq and is a predicted model, not a curated record. Lineage: Eukaryota; Metazoa; Chordata; Mammalia; Rodentia; Cricetidae. The transcript is spliced from 4 exons.
UGUUGUGGUGUCGUUGAACUGCUGAAGUGCUAUUAAUUAGCACUCCUUGGGACGUCACAUGACACCGACAUAGAAAAUCCCUGCAUAUUGAAAGGUUGAGCACUUGUGUGAUACACAGGAAAGCUCAAGAUUUGCUCUUCAAGCUACUAACUACUAAGGACGAAAAUGCCAGCUUGGAGUCAUUUGAUUGUCAGCAAUCAUCUUGACGCCUCUCUAUCUUAUCACACUGUGAAGGACUCUGUUCCUUUCAUUCAUUGAGUAUAUAGUCCAAAGUCAGUAUCUGCUUGCUGAAUAACCAGGACAAUAUCAUACCAUUAGAAGAAUGAAUAGACAUGAGGAACUGCAUUUGCACACAUGGACAGUGACAGCAAACAUUUCAGUGCACACUGAGGUACUGUUCCAGUUAACCGUUGUUGACUUGAGGAGACAAAUGAGAGGAGCUCGGAAGAGGAAUCUUCAAUUGCCUCUGUCAGAUUGCUCUGCGGGCUUCUCUGUGGGGCAUAGUCAUAAUCAGUGAUCAUUGUGGGAGGGCCCAGCUUACUGUGGACAGUGCCACCCGUAGAAAACUGCUCCUGAGUUGAGUAUCAGAAGGCUGAGGAUGC